UAAUAAUAAUUAAAUUGUUUUUCAUAAUUAAGAAUAUAUUUAAUUAAAUUAAAUGAACAAAAUCAUAUCAGAAAAGGAAAAAAAAAUAGGGUUUCAAUUUCCCCCUUUUCUUCAUCCAUCCCAAUCCCUCUAUCAUUCUUCAUCUUCUUCCUUGGACCUUCUUCAUUUGACCUCCAUCAUUCUUCUUCUUCACAGAUCCUGCGUUCCAAUUUUUAUUCUUCACAUAUCUUUUUAUUUCUCUUCUUCGUUUCACUUCUUCAUCACAAAACCUCUUCUUCGUUCCCUUUUUUCUUCGACGUUUCAUUCAAAAUCGAAACCUUCAUCCAAAUCAAAAUUCUGGAAAACGUCCUGGGUGAAAAUCUAGACUGAAAUCCAUCAAAAUCAAAAUCGAAAGCUAUGCCGCUGCAGAUUAUGUUGUUCUUGUUUAAUUUGUUUCUUGUGUUGACAGAUGUUUUUGUUUGAUCUGUUUUUGUUUCGUGAUUGUUUGUUGUUCAUGAUACAAAAGGAAUCAAUUUGAAAAAAAUUGGUUUGAGUAAAAAUUUGGAUUUGUUGAAUGAGGUUUUUGUUGUUACUUCUUGCAGAUUCAAGAGAUGUAUAGUAGCAGAUCUGAAAUAAUUUUUUGUUGUUACUAUUGCUUCUCUCUUUGUGAUUUACUACAAGUGAAUUUCGUUUAACAUGAAGAUGAGUUAGUGAAUGAAUUUGGGAUGAAUUUUUAGACUUUUCAUUAAAAUGAAAUUAUGGGUUUAGGGAUGAUUUUUUUUGGUUUGGGACGAAAUUCAUGAUGAAUUUCU
This 791-nucleotide long non-coding RNA is filed under the name Medicago truncatula (barrel medic). RNAcentral's name for it is "long non-coding RNA (MTRU_LNC001012)". The record is from RNAcentral. Lineage: Eukaryota; Viridiplantae; Streptophyta; Magnoliopsida; Fabales; Fabaceae.